UCAAAUUUGUGCUAGGAUCAAGUCUCACACAUAUGAUGACUCAUUGUACAGAAACGAAUGUCAUAUCUCUAGUAUAUAAUAGGAGUUCUGUACAAAAACUAAUAAUUACAUCAUACGAAGACAACGAUCCAACACUAUAGUUGAUUGGGAGACAACGGCCUAGACCUCUCACGAACUCAUCGCGGCAUCCUUCAUGCUCCUUAUCCUGCGGUACCUGUCCUUGACCUGGGGGGAUGUGAGUACAACAAGAAUGAGCUCACAUACGUCCAUUGCUCAAUAGUUGUGGGGAAUAAUAUGCAUGAGCUCACUUAAGUGGGGCCCAUGUGAAGUGUAAGGCUUAUCAUAUGAGAUGGUUAAAGCUAGCAUUGCUUUUAAAGUUGGUCAAAAUUUUAUUAGCAGCUACUAAGUGUAGAGUAGAUACCAACCUAAUUAAAUAAGAGAUCACAAUUAAUAAUACACCCACAAUGCAUGUAUAUGACAAAUUAAGUUUAGUUCCAUAGAUUACUCAUGUGAGGGUCGAGCCGCUCAUGAUCGUGGCAUGGUGAUAUACCAAUUUUACAAUUAAGAGGUUGCACAUCUUUACCCACAAGAUGUGUUUCCCGAUUAGCCAGGGUUAGCUAGACCCUUAGACACUUAUAAGGUGAAUGGCUAGGGGAUCCACUGUGAGGCCUUUCCAAAGUUCCCUAGUUUGAGAAAACCCGCUACAGAUUCAGGAAGAAGGAAGCAUAGGAAUCCUCGUCCGAAAAGCUAUCGCAGCAUUCGACCCAAGGACCUCCUUAUACUCUGCAGCGACGCCUCCCACUUGCCCUUUCGGGUAAGGAAAUCUCUCCCUAGCUUUCCUAAUUACUUGGCCAAGGGCGUCCAUUCCACCCUUGUGGUAGCAUUGUUUUCCCAGGUGGUUCUCCAUGUUCCAAUUAACAUGAUGAUCUUAUCAAUUAACAUAAUUAAAACAACAACAAAAUUGAAACAUGAUCAUAAUAUAACAUAAUUUCCAAAAACCAGGUAGAGCAAUAGCAAAUCUACCCAAUAGUUCUUUUGUUUGCAAGGUGUGGGAUAAACAAUACUAGGGAAACCUAUAAGGUCCCAUCAAUUAACCUGAGCAUGUCACAAUGAUUAACAUAGAACAUUAUUAGGUAAAGAAGGUGAUCAAGGGACAACUUGCCUUAGACUUGAGAUUCCCAGGUACUUCACCAAAUUGGUCUUCAGGUGACUCGUGACCUCACUUCUAUUCAUAGCAAUACAUAUAGAUAAACAAAGAAUGGGUAAAAUAACAUUACACCAAACAUGAGAACAAACAACGUAAAGAUAUACUAUACAUUGCUACGAGAUUGUAGGUUCGAGAACGACUAAAAUCAGAUUUAUGGUUAUAAGGAUAUGAUUCUCGGAAGACCUACGUGAUCAAGUAAUUAAAACUAGGUCUUGUGUUGAUUUUGUAGACCAUGUGUAAUUAUAAUCUAAAUACAUAGCUAGUUUAGCCUUAUUCUAAGUUAUAACUUAGUUAGAAAUCAUUUUUUGUCAUCUUAUAAUUAUAGAUAUCUUAAUUUUGAUUAGAAAAGUUAACCUACUAACAUAGGUUCACAAAUACCCAUUUUUGAAAAUAUGUUACUUGGUAAAAUAAUGCUACCAUAGCAUAGGCAAUAUUAUUGCGAAGCUAACGCAACUGGAAUGGAGUAAAGCGGAUUUAAAUCGCAAAAGUUAUAAUUUUUCUAAGCUUUUAGAAUUUCUUUUAUACUAAAAAUCAUUUUCUUUCAUUAAUCCGUGAAUUUCCUAGGGUUGUGGACGGCUGGAAAACAUAUUCAAAAGCUUGGGGUUCCAUGUAAAAAACAAAGGAUCAGUUUGUGAUUAUGUUGAACUAGAUAGGGAUGGCCGGUUGAUAAUAGAUAUUCAUCAGGGUCUCUAUAGCAAAACUACAAGGCGGCUUAACCUGGACUUGGUUCGAGCCAUCCGAUCCUGAUCCUAAAGCCCAGAUUAGAUCGGACCAGAUCUAAAAUGGUACACAAAUCAGCCGCUAGAUUAUGAAUCGUCGGUUCAGAUUUAAAUAAUACGAGAUCACCACGGAUCCGUCCAGUCGCAUCGACGGCCUAGAUUCCAUUUCACGAAGAGUUACGCUAACACCUAAUCAUAUCCGUCCGCUUCAAGAUCAAAGGCUCCUGACCAACCCUGGAUAACACCUCCCUUUCCCCAACAGCUCGAGGUGGCGCCCUAGGGCCAUGGCGGAGGUUCGCCGGAGAGUGGCGAUCCAGCCUCCAAAUAAUCCCUCCUGAAUCCGAAAAGGUGUAGAAGAUAGCAGAGACAGUGGGGAACAUGAUGGAGACGAUCUUACAGGCAAUAGAGUUCUGGGGAGCCGGCCCACGACGACCUGCGGCUUCACGGUGUUGAAGGGACUUCGAUGAGCAAUUGUGUAUCUCCGGUGGAUCUCCUCGCUUGGAAAUGCCACAACAACUGGCGGAUAAUACUGGCAAUCCUCCUAAUCGCCCAUCGAGGACCCGAUGUCACGAAUCAACCGGUGGCG
Molecule: long non-coding RNA, 2512 nt
Filed under: Zea mays
Lineage: Eukaryota; Viridiplantae; Streptophyta; Magnoliopsida; Poales; Poaceae
Description: long non-coding RNA (ZMAY_LNC004345)
Source: RNAcentral